This 627-nucleotide ribosomal RNA is filed under the name uncultured bacterium. Its description in RNAcentral is "bacterial SSU rRNA". It matches the Rfam family "Bacterial small subunit ribosomal RNA", at positions 28 to 652 of the family's 1533-position model. The record is from RNAcentral.
AUUGAACGCUGGCGGCAUGCCUUACACAUGCAAGUCGAACGGUAACGCGGGGCAACCUGGCGACGAGUGGCGAACGGGUGAGUAAUACAUCGGAACGUGCCCAGUAGUGGGGGAUAGCCCGGCGAAAGCCGGAUUAAUACCGCAUACGACCUAAGGGUGAAAGCGGGGGAUCGCAAGACCUCGCGCUAUUGGAGCGGCCGAUGUCAGAUUAGGUAGUUGGUGGGGUAAAAGCCUACCAAGCCUACGAUCUGUAGCUGGUCUGAGAGGACGACCAGCCACACUGGGACUGAGACACGGCCCAGACUCCUACGGGAGGCAGCAGUGGGGAAUUUUGGACAAUGGGCGCAAGCCUGAUCCAGCCAUGCCGCGUGCGGGAAGAAGGCCUUCGGGUUGUAAACCGCUUUUGUCAGGGAAGAAACGCUCUGGGCUAAUACCCUGGGGUAAUGACGGUACCUGAAGAAUAAGCACCGGCUAACUACGUGCCAGCAGCCGCGGUAAUACGUAGGGUGCAAGCGUUAAUCGGAAUUACUGGGCGUAAAGCGUGCGCAGGCGGUUAUGCAAGACAGAUGUGAAAUCCCCGGGCUCAACCUGGGAACUGCAUUUGUGACUGCAUGGCUAGAGUGCGGC